RNAcentral lists this ribosomal RNA (492 nucleotides) under uncultured bacterium. Its description in RNAcentral is "partial 16S ribosomal RNA". It matches the Rfam family "Bacterial small subunit ribosomal RNA", at positions 29 to 507 of the family's 1533-position model. The record is from RNAcentral.
AGUGAACGCUGGCGGUAGGCCUAACACAUGCAAGUCGAACGGCAGCACAGUAAGAGCUUGCUCUUACGGGUGGCGAGUGGCGGACGGGUGAGGAAUACAUCGGAAUCUACUAUUUCGUGGGGGAUAACGUAGGGAAACUUACGCUAAUACCGCAUACGACCUACGGGUGAAAGCAGGGGAUCUUCGGACCUUGCGCGAUUGAAUGAGCCGAUGUCGGAUUAGCUAGUUGGCGGGGUAAAGGCCCACCAAGGCGACGAUCCGUAGCUGGUCUGAGAGGAUGAUCAGCCACACUGGAACUGAGACACGGUCCAGACUCCUACGGGAGGCAGCAGUGGGGAAUACUGGACAAUGGGCGCAAGCCUGAUCCAGCCAUACCGCGUGGGUGAAGAAGGCCUUCGGGUUGUAAAGCCCUUUUGUUGGGAAAGAAAAGCAGCAGGUUAAUACCCCGCUGUUCUGACGGUACCCAAAGAAUAAGCACCGGCUAACUUCGUG